UCUCUGUUAGUAUAUCGGUUAGUACACGCGCCUGUCAUCCAUUGUGAAAGCGUGGAUAAACCGACGGCGUGAAGGCGUGGGUUCAACUCCCCGACAGAGAA
This is a transfer RNA of Agaricus bisporus var. burnettii JB137-S8, 101 nucleotides long. It matches the Rfam family "tRNA". Rfam says of the family: Transfer RNA (tRNA) molecules are approximately 80 nucleotides in length. Their secondary structure includes four short double-helical elements and three loops (D, anti-codon, and T loops). Further hydrogen bonds mediate the characteristic L-shaped molecular structure. tRNAs have two regions of fundamental functional importance: the anti-codon, which is responsible for specific mRNA codon recognition, and the 3' end, to which the tRNAs corresponding amino acid is attached (by aminoacyl-tRNA synthetases). tRNAs cope with the degeneracy of the genetic code in two manners: having more than one tRNA (with a specific anti-codon) for a particular amino acid; and 'wobble' base-pairing, i.e. permitting non-standard base-pairing at the 3rd anti-codon position. The record is from Rfam. NCBI's taxonomy places the organism in Eukaryota, Fungi, Basidiomycota, Agaricomycetes, Agaricales, Agaricaceae.